This 422-nucleotide ribosomal RNA is filed under the name uncultured bacterium. RNAcentral's name for it is "bacterial SSU rRNA". It matches the Rfam family "Bacterial small subunit ribosomal RNA", at positions 362 to 775 of the family's 1533-position model. The record is from RNAcentral.
UCUUCCGCAAUGGACGAGAGUCUGACGGAGCAACGCCGCGUGAGUGAUGAAGGUUUUCGGAUCGUAAAACUCUGUUGUUAGGGAAGAACAAGUAUCGUCCGAAUAGGGCGGUACCUUGACGUUACCUAACUAGAAAGCCAUGGCUAACUACUUCCCACCAGCCGCGGUAAUACGUAGGUGGCAAGCGUUGUCCGGAAUUAUUGGGCGUAAAGCGCGCGCAGGCGGUUUCUUAAGUCUGAUGUGAAAGCCCCCGGCUCAACCGGGGAGGGUCAUUGGAAACUGGGGAACUUGAGUGCAGAAGAGGAGAGUGGAAUUCCACGUGUAGCGGUGAAAUGCGUAGAGAUGUGGAGGAACACCAGUGGCGAAGGCGACUCUCUGGUCUGUAACUGACGCUGAGGCGCGAAAGCGUGGGGAGCGAACAG